CAGCCGCCGCGGUAAUACGGAGGGUCCGAGCGUUAUCCGGAAUUAUUGGGUUUAAAGGGUCCGUAGGCGGGCCAUUAAGUCAGGGGUGAAAGUCUGCGGCUCAACCGUAGAAUUGCCUUUGAUACUGGUGGUCUUGAGUUAUGGUGAAGUGGCUGGAAUAUGUAGUGUAGCGGUGAAAUGCAUAGAUAUUACAUAGAACACCGAUUGCGAAGGCAGGUCACUAACCAUAUACUGACGCUGAUGGACGAAAGCGUGGGGAGCGAACAGGAUUAGAUACCCUGGUAGUCCACGCCGUAAACGAUGGAUACUAGCUGUCCGGUCCUUGAGACCUGGGCGGCCAAGCGAAAGUGAUAAGUAUCCCACCUGGGGAGUACGUUCGCAAGAAUGAAACUCAAAGGAAUUGACGGGGGCCCGCACAAGCGGUGGAGCAUGUGGUUUAAUUCGAUGAUACGCGAGGAACCUUACCAGGGCUUAAAUGCAUAUUGACAGGGGUAGAGAUACCUUUUCCUUCGGGCAAUUUGCAAGGUGCUGCAUGGUUGUCGUCAGCUCGUGCCGUGAGGUGUCAGGUUAAGUCCUAUAACGAGCGCAACCCCUACCGUUAGUUGCCAGCGAGUCAUGUCGGGGACUCUAACGGGACUGCCGGUGCAAACCGUGAGGAAGGUGGGGAUGACGUCAAAUCAUCACGGCCCUUACGUCCUGGGCCACACACGUGCUACAAUGGCCGGUACAGAGAGCAGCCAUCUGGCAACAGAGAGCGAAUCUACAAAACCGGUCACAGUUCGGAUCGGGGUCUGCAACUCGACCCCGUGAAGCUGGAAUCGCUAGUAAUCGGAUAUCAGCCAUGAUCCGGUGAAUACGUUCCCGGGCCUUGUACACACCGCCCGUCAAGCCAUGGAAGCCGGGAGUGCCUGAAGUCCGUCACCGUAAGGAGCGGCCUAGGGCAAGAUCGGUAACUAGGGCUAAGUCGUAACAAGGUAACCGUA
RNAcentral lists this ribosomal RNA (983 nucleotides) under uncultured bacterium. RNAcentral describes it as "bacterial SSU rRNA". It matches the Rfam family "Bacterial small subunit ribosomal RNA", at positions 509 to 1504 of the family's 1533-position model. The record is from RNAcentral.